CGAGCGCUGGCGGCGUGCUUAACACAUGCAAGUCGAACGGAAAGGCCCUGCUUUUGUGGGGUGCUCGAGUGGCGAACGGGUGAGUAACACGUGAGUAACCUGCCCUUGACUUUGGGAUAACUUCAGGAAACUGGGGCUAAUACCGGAUAGGAGCUCCUGCUGCAUGGUGGGGGUUGGAAAGUUUCGGCGGUUGGGGAUGGACUCGCGGCUUAUCAGCUUGUUGGUGGGGUAGUGGCUUACCAAGGCUUUGACGGGUAGCCGGCCUGAGAGGGUGACCGGCCACAUUGGGACUGAGAUACGGCCCAGACUCCUACGGGAGGCAGCAGUGGGGAAUAUUGCACAAUGGGCGGAAGCCUGAUGCAGCAACGCCGCGUGCGGGAUGACGGCCUUCGGGUUGUAAACCGCUUUCGCCUGUGACGAAGCGUGAGUGACGGUAAUGGGUAAAGAAGCACCGGCUAACUACGUG
This 466-nucleotide ribosomal RNA is filed under the name uncultured bacterium. RNAcentral's name for it is "partial 16S ribosomal RNA". It matches the Rfam family "Bacterial small subunit ribosomal RNA", at positions 30 to 507 of the family's 1533-position model. The record is from RNAcentral.